Molecule: ribosomal RNA, 1386 nt
Filed under: Triticum aestivum (bread wheat)
Lineage: Eukaryota; Viridiplantae; Streptophyta; Magnoliopsida; Poales; Poaceae
Description: partial small subunit ribosomal RNA
Source: RNAcentral
AUGGCAUACAAAAAGUUGAGUGACUUAACUACAAGGGGACAGAACUGGAACAUUCAAGUGAAAGUAAUGAGGAUUUGGGAUUCAGUUAAUCCUACUACCGAUGAGCUUAUUAGCCUAGAUAUGAUACUCAUGGAUGAGCAGGGUGAAACAAUUCAUGCUACUAUAUGGAAGAAUCUAAUAGACACUUUUAAAUCAAAGAUCAAUGAGAAGUCUAUUUAUGGAUUCAGUAAUUUUAAGGUUGUGGAAUCCACAAAAUAUAGGCCAGUGAGCAAUGAAAUUAAAAUAUUUUUUUCAUACAAUACAAAGGUAAAGGAGAUAAAAGGAUCUCAAGAAGUUUUUCCGGACUAUUGCUCCGAGUUUGCUACCAUGGAGACACUUGAAGAAAGGGCAGGAAAAGAUACACAAUGCUCAGAUGUCAUUGGACUUCUAACAAAAAUGAAGCCCGUGGAGACAAGAAUAACAAAAAAGAGCCCACAACCUUCAUAUAUCCGCGAGAUUGAAAUACUAAUGCCGGAGGGUGAUAAAAUCAGAAUCACGUUAUGGGGAAAGUUUGCUUAUUUUUUGACCGAGGAUGUAAUUGGCAGCCAAACUGUCAUUAUUAUUACAUCAACGAUGGUGCAGAGAUUCAAUGGUUUGUGCCUAAAGUCAACCAGUGCCACCAGAAUAUAUAUAGAUCUGGAUAUACCAGAAGCACAAGAACUUCUUGAAAGGGACUCAACACAAGUAACCUUACCAAAAAUGAUGAGUAUAGAUAGAAGUAAUCAGGGAACUCUAGAAGAACAAAUGUUUUACAAGCGGAGAACAUUGCAAGAACUUACUAAAAUGAGGCACGAAAACCGGCAAGACCAGGAUUUUGUGUUCACGACAAUAGCUACAGUAGAUCGGUUGCAAGAAAAUAUUCAAUGGUGGUAUCGUAUUCGACUCCAAAUUAGUGAUCAUACAUCUACUACAAGUUGCACUUUAUUUGACGAGGAGGCUGCAAGAUUGCUUAAUACAUCUGCAUCUGACUUGCUGGACUCACUAGAUGGGAAAACAGAAGAAGCCCCAAAGAUUAUUCAACAAUUAUGUGGAAAAAAAUUAAUAUUUCGAUUCAAGCUCAGUGAUAGUAAUCUCACAUUUGGCACACAAAACUAUGCAGUAAAGAGAACAUUUGUGCCUGAUGAUAGGCUUGAGAUGCUCUAUUUGAACGAUAAAGCCGAGGAGGAAUUGAUGGAUGAUGAUGUAGACACUAUGUUAAUGAAGAAGCAGAACAUGCCAGAUAAAAAGGUGAUUGACUUUUUGACGAUACAAACUUCAAAUUUUAGAGAUGUGUCUUAUUUUGAAAAUGUAUAUGUAUGCAGUCACAGAAUAAUAAAGUUUCACCUUCCUGCAAACUGGUGCCUGUGA